CAGGCUUGUAGCUCAGGUGGUUAGAGCGCACCCCUGAUAAGGGUGAGGUCGGUGGUUCAAGUCUCAGGCCUACC
This 74-nucleotide transfer RNA is filed under the name Klebsiella quasipneumoniae subsp. quasipneumoniae. Its description in RNAcentral is "tRNA-Ile". It matches the Rfam family "tRNA". From Rfam's summary of the family: Transfer RNA (tRNA) molecules are approximately 80 nucleotides in length. Their secondary structure includes four short double-helical elements and three loops (D, anti-codon, and T loops). Lineage: Bacteria; Pseudomonadati; Pseudomonadota; Gammaproteobacteria; Enterobacterales; Enterobacteriaceae. The record is from RNAcentral.